RNAcentral lists this unclassified non-coding RNA (276 nucleotides) under Hevea brasiliensis (rubber tree). Lineage: Eukaryota; Viridiplantae; Streptophyta; Magnoliopsida; Malpighiales; Euphorbiaceae. The record is from RNAcentral.
UUAUGACUAUUCAUUCUGAUAUAUAUGAAUCUACUCAAACAAUUUCUUUAUUUGGGUAUAGAUGGUUUACCACUUCUAUUGACUAUUGCACUAGGAUGACAUGAGUUUAUUUGAUGAAAGCAAAAAAAUGAAGUGUUUUCUGCCUUUCAGUAAUUUCAUAAAAUAAUUUACGCAUAGUUUGAUGCUAAGGUUAAAAUCCUAAGAACUGAUAAUAGCAUAGAAUAUGUUAAUGGUGGUAUUUGUGCUUAUUUAGAUUCAAAUGAUAUAGUGCAUCAA